Mus musculus (house mouse) is the source of this 1782-nucleotide long non-coding RNA. RefSeq annotates it as predicted gene, 41293. The transcript is spliced from 2 exons. Lineage: Eukaryota; Metazoa; Chordata; Mammalia; Rodentia; Muridae. The record is from RefSeq and is a predicted model, not a curated record.
ACUUCCUAAAACCACAUUUAAUUAAACACAGUUAAAACCCAUUAGCAAAAUCACAGUUCUCCAAAACGACAGGACUGCAGUCUCAGCAGCACUGCAGUCAGACCUACAGCCUGCUCAUCCUGCAGAGCUCCCCAGGAGUUGUCCCCGCACCCGCCACACGGGGAAGGUAGGACAGAGACCCGUGCAAACCUGCCUGGUUAGCCCGCAUUCCCAGUAUUGUUCACGGUACCCUUAGUCAGCAGGAAGGAAUGCGGGCCAGCACCUGUCACCAAGGCUCGCCUACCUGUGGGUUCCAGCUGCGCUAUCGCCACCGAGUAUUGCGCGGCUGCCUCUGCGAAUUGCCCGCCGCGGAACAGCUCGUUGCCCCGUCUCUUGAGGCCGCUGGGGUUGUCAGCGGCUCGCGGCUCCUCCGGGUAGUGACUGUCGCCGGUGCUGGCCGUCGCUGUCUCUCGCAGGCCUCCCUGCUGCUCAGCUCGGGGCCCCGGUGUCCGGCCCCGCCGCGACCGCCUGCCACCCUCGCUCCGGCGGACCAUCAGCUUCUUCUGAAUGUUGCCCAUGGCCGCUGUAGAGAAGGGCGCACCGGGAGGUGAGUACAUACAUCCCUGUCCCGCGAUCCAGCCUGGCCAGUGCGGGCGGCGCCACCCUGCGGGCGGAGUCCCAGCUCCCCGCCACCCCGAGUGGGCGUCCUGCUUGGCCUGUCCCAGGAUCUCCAAGGACCCGGUCCAGCGCCCAUCUGCACCAAGCCAGCCGAGAUUAACCCCUUAACUGCUGGAGAGCAAGCGCCUUUCAAAACCAUCUCCUACACCAGACCACACCUGUCCAGACAACAACAGCACUGUAAGAACCUGGAUGUUCACUGUGUGUUUGGUUUAGAGACUGGGCUUAGGGAGCCCACGCUGGCCUUGAAUUUGCUACAUAGACAACAAUGGCCUGGAACUUCUGAGCUCCUUCCUCCGCCUCCCAAAUGCUGGGAUUAGAGACAAAAGUUUCUAUGCCAGGCUCAGAUGCUCACUUUGUCUGACUGCUUUCCAGACUGUAUAAAAGAUAAAGUACCAAAGCCACGGCUGUGUCACAGUGAACAUUUCUAACAGUCCCGCUAGGGAAGAAGAAACACAAACAGAUGGAAGCUCUGCGGGAGACUAGGAAUUUUCCUCGGCUGGCAGGAGUCCUUAGCACACAUUCUAUGAAGCAGAGGUAGAGGAAAGGUGAGGAGAACCUGCUGACAGUGCAGUCUCAGCUUCUACCACAGCAGCUGUCACUGGGGAAACUGACCCUGCGGUUUCUGUGCUCCUUCCAUUGGGAUGAACUGGGUCUGACAGGUUAAUUCCCAAGGAGUGAGCUAUUGACCAGAGGCCCCCAAGGCACCCAGAACCUGCAGGCCACUGCCACUGCUCUUGUGCCUACCACAACUAGAUGAUGAGGCCCUCACACUGGCUGCAGAUCUUGACCAGGAAACCUUCCCUGUAGGCUGCCCUUCACGGUGCUGGAAGGUGCUAGGCUGGAUGCCAGAGGAGAAAAGACAGUGGUCUCACUCUGUACUGGAUGCUGCAUACUAUACCACCAACCUACAGCAAAGAUUGCUCUCUGACACAACAGCGGGAAGACUAUUUACAGGGUAGCCAGCCGCUCUUGACUGGGUCUGAGGUCUGCUCCACGGCAGGAUCUGCUCAUGGUAUAGCAAAUAGGAUAGAGAUCCACGAUUAGGAAAACACAGGCUCUCAGGAGACCGAACUGAUAUGAUCUUAUAAAUAAAUAUUCAUGUUGUUAAAUACUUUCUCAAUA